GAAACAAAACCGAAGGUAGGCGGUCGUCGCUGGUCUCCCUCACAGGAGACAUCGUGCGCGCCCCCUAUCUUCUCUUUCAUUCAUCUACCCCUAUCUGUGCACCCUAUGUGGGCCGACAUAGUUCGGUUCACGCUUUAAACACACCCUUCUUAAACAUUCAAUGAACGAAUUCAUUCGAGCUCAGUCUCGAUAUAAUCUAAUACAACUUUCAACAACGGAUCUCUUGGCUCU
This 231-nucleotide unclassified non-coding RNA is filed under the name rhizosphere metagenome. RNAcentral's name for it is "partial ribosomal RNA internal transcribed spacer region". The record is from RNAcentral.